UUUUUUUGCCUAUUUUAGAGUUUUGCAGAAAAGGAAUACCAAACGGAGUCCAAACGGAAUAAAACUUUCGCGAUGAUAUUUCUUGGACCAGAAGCAAACUAGGAAACUUGGAGAUGAAGUCGGAGACGCAACAAGGCGGCCACGAGGGUGGAGGGCGCACCUAGGGGGGUAGGGCACGCCCCCUACCUCGUGGGCCCCUCGGAGGUCUCUUGACCUAAUUCUUUCGCCCAUAUACACUCUUAUACCCCCAAAACCAUCAGGGAGAGCCACAAAAACACUUUUCCACCGCUGCAACCUUUUGUACCCGUGAUCCCAUCUAGGGGCCUUUUCCGGUGUCCUGCCAGAGAGGGAUUUGAUCAUGGAGGGCUUCUACAUCAACACCAUUGCCCAUCCGAUGAAGCGUGAGUAUUUUACCUCAGACCUACGGGUCCAUAGCUAGUAGCUAGAUGGCUUCUUCUCUCUCUCUUUGAUUAUCAAUACCAUGUUCUCCUCGAUGUUCUUGGAGAUCUAUUCAAUGUAAUACUCUUUUGCGGUGUGUUUGCCGAGAUCCGAUGAAUUGUGGAUUUAUCAUCAUAUUAUCUAUGAAUAUUAUUUGAGUCUUCUCUGAAUUCUUAAAUGCAUGAUUUGAUAUCUUUGCAAGUCUCUUCGAAUUAUUGGUUUUGUUUGGCCUACUAGAUUGUUUUUUCUUGCAAUGGGAGAAGUGCUUAGCUUUGGGUGCAAUCUUGCAGUGUCCUUUCCCAGUGAUAGGAGGGGCAGCAAGGCACAUAUUUUAUUGUUGCCAUCGAGGAUAAAAAGAUGGGAUUUUCAUCAUAUUGCUUGAGUUAAUUCCUCUACAUCAUGUCAUCUUCCUUAAUGCGUUACUCUGUUCUUUAUGAACUUAAUACUCUAGAUGCAGGCAGAAGUCGGUCAAUGUGUGAAGUAAUAGUAGUAGAUGCAGAAUUGUUUCGGUCUACUUGACACGGACGUGAUGCGUAUGUUCAUGAUCAUUGCCUUAGAUAUCGUCAUAUUUAUGCGCUCUUCUAUCAAUUGCCCGACAGUAAUUUGUUCACCCGCCAUAUUAUUUUCUAUCUUGAGAGAAGCCACUAGUGAAACCUAUGGCCCCUGGGUCUCUUUUCCAUCGUAUUAAGUCUAUUUUCCAUCAUACUAGUUUCCGAUCUACUAUUUUGCAAUCUUUUACUUUCCGAUCUAUAAACCAAAAAUAACAAAAAUAUUUACUUUACCUUUUAUCUAUCUCUAUCAGAUCUCACUUUUGCAAGUAACCGUGAAGGGAUUGACAACCCCUUUUUCGCGUUGGGUGUAAGUUUGUUGAUUGUUUGUGUAGGUAUUCGGUGACUUGUGCGUUGUCUCCUACUGGAUUGAUACCUUGAUUCUCAAACUGAGGGAAAUAAUUACUCUACUUUGAUACAUCACCCUUUCCUCUUCAAGGGAAAAACCAAUGCAAGCUCAAGAAGUAGCAGGGUCCUCCCCAAUUUGGCCUCCCCCCUUCCAUAAAUGCCGGAGGAGGAAGGAAAGAGGAGGGAGGAGGGAAGGAAGGGGGAGGCCGAAGCCCGAUCCCCUUUCCUUUCUCCCUCCCCUUCUUUCCUUCUCCUCUGGUUCGGCCCAUAUGGGGGGGGGGGCACCAGCCCCUGGUGGCUGGUGUGUUUCCCCUCUUGGCCCAAUAGGCCAAUAUCUUUUGCCGGGGGUGCCCGGAACCCCUUCCGAUGACCCGAUACGUACCCGAUACCGUCCGGAACACUUCCAGUGUCCAAAUACUAUCGUCCAAUAUAUCAAUCUUUACCUCUCGACUAUUUCGACACUCCUCGUCAUGUCGGUGUUCUCAUCUGGGACUCUGAACAACAUUCACCAAUCCACAUAACUCAUAUAAUACAAUAUCAUCAUCGAACGUUAAGCGUGCGGACCCUACGGGUUCGAGAACUAUGUAGACAUGACCGAGACACCUCUCCGGUCAAUAGCCAAUAGCGGAACCUGGAUGCUCAUAUUGGCUCCCAUAUAUUCUACGAAGAUCUUUGUCGAUCGAACCAUUUUGACAACAUACGUUAUUCCCUUUGUCAUCGGUAUGUUACUUGCCCGAGAUUCAAUCGUUGUUAUCUUCAUACCUAGUUCAAUCUCGUUACCAACAAGUCUAUUUACUCGUUCUGUAAUACAUCAUCCUACAACUAACUCACUAAUCACUUUGCUUGCAAGGAUUCUUAUGAUGUGUAUUACCGAGAGGGCCCAGAGAUACCUCUUCGAUACUCGGAGUGACAAGUCCUAAUCUCGAUCUAUGCCAACCCAACAAACACCUUCGAAGAUACCUGUAGAGCAUAUUUAUAAUCACCCACUUAUGUUGUGAAGUUGGAUAGCCCACAAGGCAUUCCUCCGGUACCCGGGAGUUGCAUAAUCUCAUAGUUGAAGGAGUAUGUAUUUGACAUGAAGAAAGCAAUAGCAAUAAAACUGAACGAUUAUAAUGCUAAGCUAACGAAUGGGUCUUCUCCAUCAAAUCAUUCUCCUAACGAUGUGAUCCCGUUUAUCAAAUGACAACACAUGUCUGUGGUUAGGAAACUUAACCAUCUUUGAUCAACGAGCUAGUCUAGUAGAGGCUUACUAGGGACAUGGUAUUUUGUCUAUGUAUCCACACAUGUAUCAAGUUUCCGGUUAAUACAAUUCUAGCAUGAAUAAUAAACAUCUAUUAUAUUAUAUACUUAAAACAAGAGUAAAACAAGUCAUCACGUUCGUCCACAUAUGCUAAUCUAUUUUGCACCGUUUGAUUAGAAUAACAAUGGCUGAGAUUUAAAGAUUCUUACGUAAUAUCUAAAAAUAUAUGUACCAACAAUAUUGAACUUUCACGUUGUCACGUUAGAUGCAUAUAGAAGCAUAACGUAGAGAAAAAAUUAGGGAUAACGUAGGCGAACUGGAAGGCAUGCAUUGAUCUGAGACCAUUAUUGCAAUAGGAAAGACAUGUCGUGAUUUGGAUGUGAUGAAACAAGGAUAGAAAGUCAUGCAUCACCACGUAGGCACACGCAUGUACAAGAAUAAACUAUCCUUUAAAACACGUAACUUUUAGUACAACUAUUGUCACGUCCAAACAGACUGGACACUGGACACGUGUUUAAGACAAGGAAAUAUAUGAGUCUUUCCGCCCAAGAGUUAGAGGCAAGCACGACUCCAACUCCAACAUGUAAAUACAUUAGGAAACGAAAUCUCACUUCACGUGGACACAAUUCCAAACUGCUGACAGGUGCGUGCAUGCAAAUAAGAUUUAUGGAGUAGGAUACAACAUACAGAAUUCCACAACCAUGGAAAACCAAACACAUCUAGCCAGCCAAACCAGGCACACACCCAAGAAAGUAGAAGCCAGCCCAAACUACAGGACCAAAACACAAUCACAAAAAUCAAAGUCAGCCAAUACUAUGCCUGAUAAAGAUCGAAGCCAGGAAAAACCAAAGUUUCACGUGCAACUUGGUGCCGAUGCCGGAUGAAGUCAUGCCCCAACCUUUUGAGUUGCUUCUCACCUGAAUCAUCAAGUCAGGUAACUAUUUUUUAGUGAACUAACUUAUUCUGGAUUAAAUCAUCAACUGUACUUUCUUAAACAGCAACUAUGUUUCUGUUGCUUUUGAAGCUAAUACACAAUUCUACAACUUAUGAGCUUAUGAGGUUUGACAUGAUCUUGGUUGAUGAACAUGUUUAUUCUUUACAUAUUUAACUGAGAAUUAUUCUAUCUAAUUAUAUUUUGAUUGUUCUAACAGGGCAUACAAUGCAUGCUACAGUCUCGAAGAAUCUCUAGGCAUUUAUAAAGCAUUUUUAGUCAGAGAUCUACAUAUGCAACUUAGCAAUUUUAACCCAUAAAAUAUAGCCUGGUGAGCAAUGCAAUUGAAAAUAUUUUUUACAUGUAAGAUGUCAAAUAAAGUGAAAGAAACAUCAGAACUUUUAUCUAGAUUACUGUUUUGAAUUUCUAUCCAAGGACACGCUACGAGACGGGGAAAAAUAAUUCCUACGAGAACGGAGAAAGAUAAACAAUGCCCAGGUAUUGAAACCAACUUACAACUAAUUAUUCUUUCUGACGGUUACCACAAUUAAUCUCCAAAUUUACAUUCCAGAUUACUUAUAUAUAUACCUAUCAUUAUUGUGACCUUCCUAAUGGUUUUCAAUGGUAAGUCCAGUAAUAUACAUGCUCUUCCGCUUUUCAUGAAAAAAAACUAAUGUUGGAGAGAUUCACUGUUGACUUAACAGUUUUUUUAUCUAAAGUCAACAGAUGCCACAAGAAUGUUUAGACAUACCCAAGAAUCAGGAACUUCUUAACAGGUAUGAGACACUAUCUUUUUGUUAUUUGUCGACGAAUUGUGACUCAUGUAAACUCACUAAUGUAAAUAAUAGUUAUUCUUAACUCAAACCAUAAAUGUAGGCACUCAGCAGAAUAAAUUGUACCUAAAAUGAUCGAAAUAGAUAAAAGUACUCAAGGAUGCUAGAAAAAAAUGUUUUACUGGAGCAGAGCAUUACAAGAACUUACUACAAUGAAUCAAGAAAACCUACUAAAUCAGGUAAUCCAUCCGAGUUCUUUUGAGAUAUGAUAUCUUCGAAGAAAACCUGACCCUUGAGACCUGCAAUGACAUUUGAAUAUUUGAUUCAUAUCAAUUAUAAUGAAGUAACAUUUGACGUAUUUGUGUCACUUAGUUUUAUCACAAUGCUAGCAUUGAGUUUUAGUUUUAUCACAAUGCUAACAUUGAGUUUCUGGGUAAAUUUUCUGAUUAUGUGUUCAUAGCUACAGGCCUACAAUAGAUCUCCUGCAAGAAAAUAUUAAAUUAUCAUACAUGCCAUGUGAUGAUUAUCACAAAACAAUGGAAUUACGGAUAGAAACUGGAUAAUAGUAAAUGAAGAUGGGCGUCAAGAAGAAAAUAUCAACGUCACAUGAGCUCCGCGUGAUAAAGAAGGAUACCAAGAUCUAUUUCAAUAUCUGAUGGCUCAGGGGAUAAAUGAACAGAGACAAAUGUGCAACAAGGAAAAGAAAAAGAUGUACGAGAGAACAAAAACCAGUUCAACCAAAAAUAACUACUAGGGGUCGAAGAUGAAGAUUCAGAUGUCCAUUAUGGCCAAAGAAAACCUAAUGUUAAUGCAGCCAUUAGACAACACACUUAUCCACAAAUAAGUUGAUUAGUAGCUUAUCCUGUGAAAGUCGGACUAUAUGUAUUUCCCCAAAUAAAGAGCCUAAGAAUACUAGACAUUGGUCAAGAUAAGGAUGAUACUUAUUGGAUAGUAAGGGUCCGAAUGUUAGCACUAUUCAAUGCAUGUCAAAUUGCAAUUAUUCGGAAAAAACUUCUUCAAUAUAUGUUUCUGGCAAUAGCACUUCUAUAUCAUACAACAUUUUCAGUUCAUGAGAAGCAUAAGAAAACAUCCAAUGUUAUUAGCUUGGCCUGCAAAUGAUCAACCAUUGUUUGUUUAACAACAUAUAUAUGAACUAAGCUUCUUAUACUACAUGCAAGUCUUCUCGCUUUGUCUAUUACUAAUACAUACAAGUAAUAUUUUCUCAGAUAUGACAACAACAAAUCAAAAUAAUAUACUUUUUAGUCCAAAUUGGGAAAAAACACCUGUAAAGAGUCGGUUUCUAUGAAGGAAUAAAAAUAUAUAGUCCGGCAAAUCGCUUCUACCAGCGGACACACUUCUCAUCUUACUAAGUAUUUCUCUCCCAAUCUCUUUUUUUUGCGGGGGCUCCCGAUCUACUUCUACACAUCUACCUCCGCCAACCAAUACCUGACAAUAGCUGGAAGGAAAACCUCUAUAUUGUGCCGCAGAUCCAGCACGUGUACAUCAACCUCCCCUUCGGCAACCAAAUUUUGGGCUAAACGCUGCCCUCCCAUUGAUGGCCCUCCUCCAUCGAGCUGAGACCCAGCCACACAAGUUUGCCUCUGCUGCGUGCCCCAUUCUAGGUCGCCAUGAUUAGGGCUUGCGUUUAGUACCUGAGGAUGAGAAACUAUAAAAACAGUAGCGAGAAGUGACAUCAGAGAAUGUCAGGAAUUAGAUUCCUGGAAUACAUUAGCUAGAUCUUACUUCGCUGGCUGCUAAUCACAACCGGUGGCGCAUGUGGGUGAGGAGGACUAAAGGGGAUCGACUGAGAGGAGAGGAAGAUGCAGUUUUUCUUUUUAACUAAAGCAACAGUUCUAUGUAGAGGAUGACAUGUGCGUGUGGUUUGAGUAAAAAAAAAAUGAUGUCGACUUUUCCUGGGUCGCUAGGUGGGCUGGAGCAUCGCAACGAUGGCUUAAUAGAUGGGGUAAGUGAAGUAGGGCUUAGAAUUUUCUAAGACAG
This 6276-nucleotide long non-coding RNA is filed under the name Triticum aestivum (bread wheat). RNAcentral's name for it is "long non-coding RNA (TAES_LNC027017)". Lineage: Eukaryota; Viridiplantae; Streptophyta; Magnoliopsida; Poales; Poaceae. The record is from RNAcentral.